RNAcentral lists this long non-coding RNA (236 nucleotides) under Sorghum bicolor (sorghum). Its description in RNAcentral is "long non-coding RNA (SBIC_LNC013508)". The record is from RNAcentral. Lineage: Eukaryota; Viridiplantae; Streptophyta; Magnoliopsida; Poales; Poaceae.
UAUGUAGUAGUGAAAUCUGACAUGUUACUCUUGGAUGGUUGUUACCGUACAACCUCUGUUUCAAAGGAAAAUACCUUGUUCUCAGUAAUGGCAAGAAGAGGUCGCUAAAGCAAAAGUUAGGGAAAAACAACAUGAGACAUCAUCCUGAUAUAUGAGCCAGUAGUGCAUUAACCUAUUUGAGAUUGAGAAGCAUCACAUACCGAAACCUCAGUUCAUAGUAGAUGCACUUCAGUUGU